RNAcentral lists this long non-coding RNA (201 nucleotides) under Mus spicilegus (steppe mouse). Its description in RNAcentral is "lncRNA (ENSMSIG00000002731.1)". Lineage: Eukaryota; Metazoa; Chordata; Mammalia; Rodentia; Muridae. The record is from RNAcentral.
GUCAGGGCCUGCUCUCUCACAGAGAAGCCCCCUGAGAUGUUGAAUAGGUCAGUCAUCAGUACCAUGCAAUGCUAUCCAGGAAGAAAUUAUAUUUUUCAAGAUAACUACAUGCACACAGGCGAAUUCUGUACAGAGAUGGGCAACUCUAUCAUCAUUGACAAGCUUUGAGAAACAGCUUCAGGGUGAAUGAUUUUAUCUGGC